AGCUACACCACGAGAUGAGGAUGGUCAUUGUCAUUUUCUGAGCUGCGAACGGGCAGAAAGCUACACAACGAGAUGAGGAUGGUCAUUGUCAUUUUCUGAGCUGGGAACGGGCAGAAAGCUACACAACGAGAUGAGGAUGGUCAUUGUCAUUUUAUGAGCUGCGAACGGGCAGAAAGCUAACCAACGAGAUGAGGAUGGUCAUUGUCAUUUUCUGAGCUGGGAACGGGCAGAAAGCUAGACAACGAGAUGAGGAUGGUCAUUGUCAUUUUCUGAGCUACGAACGGGCAGAAAG
Long non-coding RNA from Sycon ciliatum, 292 nucleotides. RefSeq lists it as uncharacterized. NCBI's taxonomy places the organism in Eukaryota, Metazoa, Porifera, Calcarea, Leucosolenida, Sycettidae. The record is from RefSeq and is a predicted model, not a curated record. The transcript has 5 exons.